UGGGGAAUAUUGGACAAUGGGCGAAAGCCUGAUCCAGCCAUGCCGCGUGAGUAACGAAGGCCUUAGGGUUGUAAAGCUCUUUUGGCGGGGAAGAUAAUGACGGUACCCGCAGAAUAAGCUCCGGCUAACUUCGUGCCAGCAGCCGCGGUAAUACGAAGGGAGCUAGCGUUGUUCGGAAUCACUGGGCGUAAGGGGCGCGUAGGCGGCAAUUCAAGUCAUCUGUGAAAUCUCCGGGCUUAACUCGGAACGGUCAGAUGAUACUGCUUUGCUAGAGUGCAGAAGGGGCAAUCGGAAUUCUUGGUGUAGCGGUGAAAUGCGUAGAUAUCAAGAGGAACACCUGAGGUGAAGACGGGUUGCUGGGCUGACACUGACGCUGAGGCGCGAAAGCCAGGGGAGCAAACGGGAUUAGAUACCCCCGUAGUCCCUGAGCGGGCUGGCAAGGCGCAU
Molecule: ribosomal RNA, 447 nt
Filed under: uncultured bacterium
Lineage: Bacteria
Description: bacterial SSU rRNA
Rfam family: Bacterial small subunit ribosomal RNA
Source: RNAcentral